UGGAGGGCAAGUCUGGUGCCAGCAGCCGCGGUAAUUCCAGCUCCAAUAGCGUAUAUUAAAGUUGUUGCAGUUAAAAAGCUCGUAGUUGAAUUUCGGGAUCAGUACGCUGGUCAUGCCUUUGGUAUGCACUGGUGUCACUGGUUUCUCCCUUCUGAAGAACCGUGAUGUCAUUAAUUUGGUGUCGCGGGGAAUCAGGACUGUUACUUUGAAAAAAUUAGAGUGUUUAAAGCAGGCUCACGCUUGAAUACAUUAGCAUGGAAUAAUGAAAUAGGACGUUUGACCCUAUUUUGUUGGUUUCUAGGAUCGACGUAAUGAUUAAUAGGGAUAGUUGGGGGCAUUAGUAUUCAAUUGUCAGAGGUGAAAUUCUUGGAUUUAUUGAAGACUAACUACUGCGAAAGCAUUUGCCAAGGAUGUUUUCAUUAAUCAAGAACGAAAGUUAGGGGAUCGAAGACGAUCAGAUACCGUCGUAGUCUUAACCAUAAACUAUGCCGACUAGGGAUCGGAUGAUGU
This 510-nucleotide ribosomal RNA is filed under the name uncultured Glomus. RNAcentral's name for it is "SSU rRNA". It matches the Rfam family "Eukaryotic small subunit ribosomal RNA", at positions 549 to 1063 of the family's 1831-position model. The record is from RNAcentral. Lineage: Eukaryota; Fungi; Glomeromycota; Glomeromycetes; Glomerales; Glomeraceae.